GAUGAACGCUAGCUACAGGCCUAACACAUGCAAGUCGUGGGGCAGCGGGUAUACUUGUUUUCAAGUAUAUGCCGGCGACCGGCGCACGGGUGAGUAACGCGUAUCCAACCUGCCCAUCACAAGGGAAUAACCCGUCGAAAGUCGGCCUAAUGCCCUAUGUAUUCCGAUGAAGUCCUCUGAAUCGGAAUAAAGCAUUUGCGGUGAUGGAUGGGGAUGCGUCUGGUUAGCUUGUCGGCGGGGUAACGGCCCACCGAGGCGACGAUCAGUAGGGGUUCUGAGAGGAAGGUCCCCCACAUUGGAACUGAGACACGGUCCAAACUCCUACGGGAGGCAGCAGUGAGGAAUAUUGGUCAAUGGGCGUUGAGCCUGAACCAGCCAAGUAAUCGUGCAGGAUGACGGCCCUAUGGGUUGUAAACUGCUUAUUAUACGGGGAUAAAAGGGUGAACGUGUUCUCCUUUGCAGGUACCGUAUGAAUAAGGACCGGCUAAUUCCGUGCCAGCAGCCGCGGUAAUACGGAAGGUCCUGGCGUUAUCCGGAUUUAUUGGGUUUAAAGGGAGCGCAGGCUGCACUUUAAGCGUGUGGUGAAAUGUACCGGCUCAACCGGUAACGUGCAGCGCGAACUGGGGUGCUUGAGUACGAAGAGGGAAGGCGGAACUCGAUGGUGUAGCGGUGAAAUGCUUAGAUAUCACGAGGAACUGCGAUCGCGAAGGCAGCUGUGUGCCGUUUACGGAACUGGGACGCCUGAGGGCUCGAAAAAGUUGCGGGGUAUUUCCAAACCCAAGGGAUUCAAGG
This 792-nucleotide ribosomal RNA is filed under the name Prevotella sp. oral taxon 303. RNAcentral describes it as "bacterial SSU rRNA". It matches the Rfam family "Bacterial small subunit ribosomal RNA", at positions 28 to 820 of the family's 1533-position model. Lineage: Bacteria; Pseudomonadati; Bacteroidota; Bacteroidia; Bacteroidales; Prevotellaceae. The record is from RNAcentral.